UACGAAGGGGGCUAGCGUUGCUCGGAAUCACUGGGCGUAAAGGGCGCGUAGGCGGGGAGGUAAGUCGGGUGUGAAAUCCCUCGGCCCAACCGAGGAACUGCGCCCGAGACUGCUUCUCUUGAGUCCCGGAGAGGAAGAUGGAAUUCCCGGUGUAGCGGUGAAAUGCGCAGAUAUCGGGAAGAACACCCGUGGCUAAGGCGGCUCUCUAGUACGGUACUGACGCUGAGACGCGAAAGCGUGGGGAGCGAACAGG
RNAcentral lists this ribosomal RNA (253 nucleotides) under uncultured bacterium. RNAcentral's name for it is "partial 16S ribosomal RNA". It matches the Rfam family "Bacterial small subunit ribosomal RNA", at positions 524 to 776 of the family's 1533-position model. The record is from RNAcentral.